CUCUAUCUUCUGUACUUAAAACAGCUUCCCCCAACGUGGGGAUCAAACCCACGACCCGGAGAUUAAGAGUCUCAUGCUCUAUCGACUGAGCUAGCCAGGCUACACCUGCAAACCAUUACCAACACUUUCCAAGCGCACUAAGAUCCACAUGGCUCCAAGUGAUGUAAAUUUGUGAGAGGGAAGGUCUGUGCAGACAUCCCUGUGCCCAUCAGUUUUUCUGAGUGUGCAGACUUGUCUGCGGAGACUUUACAUUAUACCCUUACAACUGUGCAAGUGCCCCAGGCAGCAGAUAUACACCAGGAUUAACUACAACAUCCUUCAUGUCUCCAGUUGUCCUUGCCAGUGUCCACAACAGAUUGUAAUCAAAGGUUAAGUCAUCAAGAUAUGGUUGAAGGAUUCCUAGAUUGUAUAGUUUUUCACAAAAUAAAUAUUACCACAGUUUGUGAAGUCUACAAACUCAGAUAUGUGCUGAGUUUUGAUCCUUACUGGCUUCUUAAUGUUUAAAAAUGCUAAUCAAUGCAUUUAAAAAAGAAAAAAAAACUUGGAACAGAAAAGGAAAAAUAAGAAACUGUCUUUUAACUGUCCAAACAAACAUGACAGCAUAUCUUCAGAGCAGAAAACGACAUCUUGUUUAAGCACACUUGAGAGGUGACCAUGACCCACGUUGAAGGGUUUUCAGUGCAGGAUAAGUAGUUGAAGGACAAAAAAACAGCCUGUUACUUUCAGCGAUUAUCAUUAAACAGAGACACACGGAAAACGCCAACUUCUUUAGUUUCAGACCAUUUAAAGGACACUCCGCUGUAGCAACAUUUCCACCAUUUGCUCCCUGUGAGGCUAAGCUCCAGCAGCAACAAGCCAGCGUUGUGAAGAGUGUUUCCUUGAGGAAACACAGUCUAAUCUUCAGCGCACAGGCACUGUGAUGUGGAAGGGAGUGACCUGAGCGAGCUACUUAACAUCCGUCCCCACAGCAGCUUUUUAAUCUGUUUUUCAUGUUGUCAUGCCAUCUUCCUCGAGCAGAACUAAUUGGUUGUUUUCGCCUGUUAUGCAGGAGCCAACAUAGAAAAAAAAAAUCACUGAAGGACACUUGUAACAACUUGAACGCACACUCACAGGACACGGAUGCGAUCGCAGGUGCAGACAAGUCCAAGUGGGAAUUGCUUGACUCAGUUCGACAAGUAAGGGUCCUAAUAAAAGCAUUUAGUGAACUCUUAGCUUAUCACACACACACACAAAAUGCCCCCCGCCCCCUUCCCGGUCUGCCUCCCCGUCUGAUUUGCAUUUUGGUUAACACUCUAAUUGCCUCUCAUUAAAUACCUUGUCACUUUGAUUAAUUGGUGUGAUACAGAAAUGUAAAACAGCAGAGCGGUACAAUGCAUAGUGAACAGUUUCUGAUUGGAAAAGACGAACAAGCCCAUCUAAAAAAAAAAAAAAAAAAAAAAAAAGCACCGGGACAAUAAACAAAGUAAGUAAGUUUUUUUUAAAGAAUCUGAUUUAUCCUGAGCUUCUCCUUCUGAAAAAAGGCCGUGCUCUAAAUGUUUCAAACCUGAAUUGUUUCUGGUUUGGAUCAGUGCAACAAUACACAUUCAUCUCUCCAUGGACAGCUAUUAAGGUGACUAUAAGCAUGUUAAGGUGCCCUUGAGCGCAUCCCCAGCUGCUACAGUUGGUCACAAGCCAAAACAAUUGGCCUGAGUUGAUAGGAGUAAGCCAUUAAAAACAUGCUUGCCAUUUCUAAACAAUCAAACAUAAAGUUUCCUUUUGUUAGUUGCUUAGACUGAAUUAAUGAUAAUAAAGAUGGUGGAACAGUUGAUAGUUGGGUGAUAAGUUUGACUUUAACACACUCUGCAGUCACUCAGUGAGAAAGUGUGAGCCUGCUUUCAUUACCUGACCACAAAGGCUAAGAUCACUGAAAAAAUUCCUGCUGUGACAGAGAAACAGAAAAUACCUUGGAGCCAAAAUAUGAGGACCACUCAUCCAAACGCCUUCACCCUCGCCAGCACACUUACCAAGUGUGAAGUAGAUUGCAUGAACAGUGCAUGGUGAAGGACAGACACACAAACGCACAGGGA
Molecule: long non-coding RNA, 2066 nt
Organism: Astatotilapia calliptera (eastern happy)
Lineage: Eukaryota; Metazoa; Chordata; Actinopteri; Cichliformes; Cichlidae
Source: Ensembl